Molecule: microRNA, 22 nt
Filed under: Ciona intestinalis (vase tunicate)
Lineage: Eukaryota; Metazoa; Chordata; Ascidiacea; Phlebobranchia; Cionidae
Description: Cin-Mir-196_5p (mature (guide))
Source: RNAcentral
UAGGUAGUUUAAAGUUGUGGAG